Molecule: transfer RNA, 76 nt
Filed under: Gammaproteobacteria bacterium
Lineage: Bacteria; Pseudomonadati; Pseudomonadota; Gammaproteobacteria
Also listed under: 1 other name
Description: tRNA-Thr
Rfam family: tRNA
About the family: Transfer RNA (tRNA) molecules are approximately 80 nucleotides in length. Their secondary structure includes four short double-helical elements and three loops (D, anti-codon, and T loops). Further hydrogen bonds mediate the characteristic L-shaped molecular structure. tRNAs have two regions of fundamental functional importance: the anti-codon, which is responsible for specific mRNA codon recognition, and the 3' end, to which the tRNAs corresponding amino acid is attached (by aminoacyl-tRNA synthetases). tRNAs cope with the degeneracy of the genetic code in two manners: having more than one tRNA (with a specific anti-codon) for a particular amino acid; and 'wobble' base-pairing, i.e. permitting non-standard base-pairing at the 3rd anti-codon position.
Source: RNAcentral
GCUCACAUAGCUCAGUCGGUAGAGCACUUCCUUGGUAAGGAAGAGGUCAUCGGUUCAAUUCCGAUUGUGAGCACCA